Suricata suricatta (meerkat) is the source of this 1311-nucleotide long non-coding RNA. RefSeq lists it as uncharacterized. The record is from RefSeq and is a predicted model, not a curated record. The transcript has 2 exons. NCBI's taxonomy places the organism in Eukaryota, Metazoa, Chordata, Mammalia, Carnivora, Herpestidae.
GCCUGGGAUCGAACUCGGAUUUGGGGGCCGAAAAUGGCCGGAGCAGGAGGCGCGGGGCCGGGCGCUACCUUGUAACUGAGUUGGGCUCUUGCCUGGGGUCGCCCAUGGACCCGCGGGGUAACCUCGGGCUACCCCGUAUGCGGUCGAGGGCGGGGCGCAGAGUCCCUCCCAGCGGUCUCCCUGAAGGGGUCUCAGGGGAAGGAGGGGGGCACGUGGGUCCUGACCCCGCCUGAGGCAGCUGCAUCAUCCACCCCGGAACGAAGCCGGCAGCGUCUGCGACCCGGCAGGAGCGAUGCUACGGGACCAGGUUUCGACUUGAAUCCGAAAGCGCCUCUUAACACCCAUUCUUUGCAGGAGGACACUCAGAGAAGGCGGGGUCUCCAUUUGGACUGCUGCGCGCCCAUUUAGCGGCCCAGACUCACAUACAAGCGUGUCCACGUCUACAGCACAGAGCUGUGCACAUCAGGCGCCCGCGGAUGCGCGGGGCUGGUCGCACUUAACAGUGUGCAUACACAUGGGUGCAUGCACGCGCGCGCGCGCGCACUCACACUCCAAAUUACCUCCGGGAUGGAGAAAGCCGCCACGGAUUGGCCGGCAGAGCCGUCACUCACACCCAAGGGGCAGGGAGACUUUGCAAGGCUGUUUCCUUUUUUUCUUUUUUUUUUUCCCCCUUUUUUUUUCCCCCUUCCCUCCCUACCGUUUCAUUUAAUGGUGAAACAACAGAGCACUGAAAGUUAGCCAUCUGCGCGGAGAGUUUGCUUUCUUUAACGACGGGGGCGUCAGAUAAUAUCCAUUUAAAUAUAUUUUGUACUUCCACAAUGGAUGAAAAGGGAAAUUAGCAAUCCGAGGUGGGGGCGGAGAGGGAGCUAGGAGUGAGUAGGAGGGGGUCAUCCGGAGGGGUGGAAGAAGAGUGUAGAGUUGUUCUCAACGCCCAAAAAUGACGUUGACCUUUAUUGAUCUCGAAAUUUAAAAAAUGUUUUUCACAGAUCAGAUUAUAAACAAAUGCCGAUCCUCAUUGAUGAACUCAUUAUUUUAAUUUUAUCAUUUAAGCAUGCGCCAGCAAUCGUGUUUCCUUAAGAAAGAACUGACCUAUUUUUGGCUGGAGAUAAACGAUCAUGUUAACAGAUGUUAAUCUUGUAAUCUGUUUUUCUUGUAAGCACUUUACAUACCCGGGUUUCAGACCUUAAAAAUAACAUCUUUUCCAAAAGGACCUGACGUCACAAUUCACUCCCUGAAAAAUCACACCCCCCCCUCCAGUUUUUUUUCCUGUGCAAUGAUUUCAAAGACAUUAAAUCUUUUUCACUUUAUAAA